CAUGUAGGCGGUCUGUCAAGUCUGAUGUGAAAGCCCGGGGCUCAACCCCGGAAGUGCAUUGGAAACUGGCAGACUUGAGUACGGGAGAGGAAAGUGGAAUUUCGAGUGUAGGGGUGAAAUCCGUAGAUAUUCGAAGGAACACCAGUGGCGAAGGCGGCUUUCUGGACCGAUACUGACGCUGAGAUGCGAAAGCGUGGGGAGCGAACA
Molecule: ribosomal RNA, 207 nt
Filed under: uncultured bacterium
Lineage: Bacteria
Description: partial 16S ribosomal RNA
Rfam family: Bacterial small subunit ribosomal RNA
Source: RNAcentral